Molecule: ribosomal RNA, 464 nt
Filed under: uncultured bacterium
Lineage: Bacteria
Description: bacterial SSU rRNA
Rfam family: Bacterial small subunit ribosomal RNA
Source: RNAcentral
GGGCCCGCACAAGCGGCGGAGCAUGCGGAUUAAUUCGAUGCAACGCGAAGAACCUUACCUGGGUUUGACAUGGGCGCUAAAGCCGCAGAGAUGUGGUGUCCUUCGGGGGCGUUCACAGGUGGUGCAUGGCUGUCGUCAGCUCGUGUCGUGAGAUGUUGGGUUAAGUCCCGCAACGAGCGCAACCCUCGUUCCAUGUUGCCAGCGGGUUAUGCCGGGGACUCAUGGGAGACUGCCGGGGUCAACUCGGAGGAAGGUGGGGAUGACGUCAAGUCAUCAUGCCCCUUAUGUCCAGGGCUUCACGCAUGCUACAAUGGCCGGUACAAAGGGCUGCGAUACCGCAAGGUGGAGCGAAUCCCAAAAAGCCGGUCUCAGUUCGGAUCGGGGUCUGCAACUCGACCCCGUGAAGUCGGAGUCGCUAGUAAUCGCAGAUCAGCAACGCUGCGGUGAAUACGUUCCCGGGCCUU